Molecule: ribosomal RNA, 165 nt
Filed under: uncultured bacterium
Lineage: Bacteria
Description: partial 16S rRNA
Rfam family: Bacterial small subunit ribosomal RNA
Source: RNAcentral
UAGGGAAUCUUCGGCAAUGGGGGCAACCCUGACCGAGCAACGCCGCGUGAGUGAAGAAGGUUUUCGGAUCGUAAAGCUCUGUUGUUAAAGAAGAACACGUAUGAGAGUAACUGUUCAUACGUUGACGGUAUUUAACCAGAAAGUCACGGCUAACUACGUGCCGAG